RNAcentral lists this ribosomal RNA (253 nucleotides) under uncultured bacterium. Its description in RNAcentral is "partial 16S ribosomal RNA". It matches the Rfam family "Bacterial small subunit ribosomal RNA", at positions 524 to 776 of the family's 1533-position model. The record is from RNAcentral.
UACAGGGGGUGCAAACGUUGCUCGGAAUUAUUGGGCGUAAAGCGCACGUAGGCGGUUCGGUAUGUCGGAUGUGAAAGCCCUUGGCUCAACUGAGGAAGUGCAUCCGAAACUGGCGAGCUAGAGUAUGUAAGAGGGUCGCGGAAUUCCCGGUGUAGAGGUGAAAUUCGUAGAUAUCGGGAGGAACACCGGUGGCGAAGGCGGCGACCUGGGACAAUACUGACGCUGAGGUGCGAAAGCGUGGGGAGCAAACAGG